RNAcentral lists this ribosomal RNA (1000 nucleotides) under Vibrio alginolyticus. RNAcentral's name for it is "bacterial SSU rRNA". It matches the Rfam family "Bacterial small subunit ribosomal RNA", at positions 66 to 1055 of the family's 1533-position model. Lineage: Bacteria; Pseudomonadati; Pseudomonadota; Gammaproteobacteria; Vibrionales; Vibrionaceae. The record is from RNAcentral.
UCUGAACCUUCGGGGAACGAUAACGGCGUCGAGCGGCGGACGGGUGAGUAAUGCCUAGGAAAUUGCCCUGAUGUGGGGGAUAACCAUUGGAAACGAUGGCUAAUACCGCAUGAUGCCUACGGGCCAAAGAGGGGGACCUUCGGGCCUCUCGCGUCAGGAUAUGCCUAGGUGGGAUUAGCUAGUUGGUGAGGUAAGGGCUCACCAAGGCGACGAUCCCUAGCUGGUCUGAGAGGAUGAUCAGCCACACUGGAACUGAGACACGGUCCAGACUCCUACGGGAGGCAGCAGUGGGGAAUAUUGCACAAUGGGCGCAAGCCUGAUGCAGCCAUGCCGCGUGUGUGAAGAAGGCCUUCGGGUUGUAAAGCACUUUCAGUCGUGAGGAAGGUGGUGAAGUUAAUAGCUGAAUUAUUUGACGUUAGCGACAGAAGAAGCACCGGCUAACUCCGUGCCAGCAGCCGCGGUAAUACGGAGGGUGCGAGCGUUAAUCGGAAUUACUGGGCGUAAAGCGCAUGCAGGUGGUUUGUUAAGUCAGAUGUGAAAGCCCGGGGCUCAACCUCGGAAUAGCAUUUGAAACUGGCAGACUAGAGUACUGUAGAGGGGGGUAGAAUUUCAGGUGUAGCGGUGAAAUGCGUAGAGAUCUGAAGGAGUACCGGUGGCGAAGGCGGCCCCCUGGACAGAUACUGACACUCAGAUGCGAAAGCGUGGGGGAGCAAACACGAUUAGAUACCCUGGUAGUCCACGCCGUAAACGAUGUCUACUUGGAGGUUGUGGCCUUGAGCCGUGGCUGUCGGAGCUAACGCGUUAAGUAGACCGCCUGGGGGAGUACGGCUCGCAGGAUUAAAACUCAAAUGAAUUGACGGGGGGCGCGCACAAGCGCUGGGAGCAUGUGGUUUUAAUUCGAUGCAACGCGAAGAACCUUACCUACUCUUGACAUCCAGACAACUGUGCGUAGAUGGAUUGGUGCCUUCGGAACUCUGAUACAGUGCUGCAUGUCUGUCGU